CAGAAGGCAGGCUCACGGCGCGCCAGGCGAGAUCCCCGGAGAUGGGGUCGGAGGGCAACCGACCGCCCCCACCGGCGCGCUCGUCCUCCGCUCCGGGACGGGACCUACUGCCGCGGCCGGUGACUUCGCCCCGGCCGCCACGCUGCCGCCUCCUCGUUGCCGGCGGCCCGCGGGACCGGAGCCCCGACUCUCCCCCCAGCCCCUGCCUGGGGUUUCUGUUCGGAUUCUGCUCGUUCACGAGCUCUCUGGCACUGGAGACCUUCUCAUGCAUUGCAAAACCAUUAAUGCUGGCCAUGGAGAUCCUUGCCUCUUCAGGAUUCAGAACAGCUCGGUGCACAACAGUCUUGAUUUUGCCAUUGCUCAGGACUUCCAUGUGGUCUCCUACGUGGACAUGCAAUGCAUGUGGCAGUGGCUGGACCACUUUCCAGCUGUUGCUGUUGCGGUCGACGACCUCCAGGCCUCGACAACUUGUGAACAAGAUGAUUGGGGGGUUUUCCGGCCAAUAUUGCAUCCAUUCACUCAGGGGAUGGGCAUAAUGCUUUAGUUUGAAGAAAUCUGAAGCUGCUUCAACAGCUCCAUCCAUGACAGAUUGACUGAUCCCAUGGUUUAUAAUCUGCAAAAUGGAGAUAGGCAAGUAAGCUUUCUUUGUUCCCUUGCACCUGCUUGUUAGUAGAGACAGAGUGCCCAAGAAGAGUUCAUGAAAGACCGUACCUUAACUCUAGUGUAGCUACACAGCCUUAAGUUCUCCUCUAAUGUUUUACAAUUUUAGUAGUGGUCCUUGAGAACCUUGACAUUGCUUAUAUUUGAGAGUUGAAGCUGGAAACAUUUUAUACGCACAGAAGGCACCUGCUGUAUAAAUGAUUUGUUAUUUCUCGUACUGAGAGGUCACCCUGUCAGAGAACACGCCUUAGUAAUAUUCUUUGCUGCCUUGCUAUGUCCACAUGUACCCAUAGGACAAUGAUGCAGUUGUUAAAACUAGCCAUUUAGGUCGACCCCGGCUCCCUGUUGCUCUAGAACCAGACAUCUAUAUCGAGUAGGCUUAGGCCCUGUUACAGAUUUACAACUAAAAAAAAUGAAGGAAACUGAGAUGCUUGAACAUGCACGUUGUGUACGUACUUCAGAAUAUCUUUUCUAAAUUUUAUGAAGACUAAAUUACAGAUCAAAACUUCACAAAUGCUCCCAAUACUGAAAUGUUACAUCAUAAAAAAAAGAUUAAGAAUGUAGCAGGAAAAGGGAAUUAUCUACAACCGACAAGUGCUCUAAAAUGACCUUCAUUGCGGUGAUAACUGAAGGACGAAAUGGGGACUGAACUUCUCAGCUUCAUGUUAUUUAUCAGUUUCCAUCUAACCAAGCGACAAAAUGUAGCUGGUCCUCCGCGUAUCGUACAGUUCUCGCCAAUCCCCGGUUCCUCAUACAGUCGUGUGAUGAGUUCUAGUAUACUUUAUAUACACUGUUUAGACAGCUCAUACUCUUCAUUUUGGGGGACAAAAGGAGGAUGGAGCUCAUCAAACUAUUUAGCUGAGUGCAGGCAGUUUGCUCCAAAGAUGGUGCGUGUACUACUACUAACAAUGCGGUGCUGUCACAGCUAGCCGCAGGAUUUCGAAGGUCAUCAUAGCUCCUAAUUUUCCUGUGGUCGCUCUUCUGCAGUGGUUUUUCAACCACAAAUCUAGUUUGGUUUCCUAGUUUAUUUGUCUGUACAGUCGUCUUCCUUGGUCAACAUUGUGGACACAAGUGGCAAUGUUAUCCAUUGCAGUCUGGAAAAGAUAAAUGCCAAGGCAAAGGCAGAAAAGAAAAAGACAGGAAGGUGUGGCAAUGUUCUCAAGGAGUAUACCUGGAAGUAUCCUAGAUCACGGCAUGCUUUGGUAAUAUCUUCAACCACACGAGCUCGUGUCGCUGGGUCAAGGUUGAGGUGACCCACGUUGAUCACCGGCAUUGGCGGCGGGUGGAGGUUGUCGGAGGGGAGCUGCUCCUGAGGGACAGUCCUUGAGUCAUCAGACAUGUUGACUUAGUACUGUACAAGGAGCAGAGUCCAAUCUCAGUAUCUUUACGCAGAAACGAAACGGGAUGAAGUGUUCCUCCAUGGUGCGGCAUCUACUUAUAGGCAGCUUCAUUCCAGUGUCUGCUCGUUCCAAAUAAGAGGUCAAGCCAUUCAUGUCCAUGCAUGCAUGCACUUGGCAAUAUAUAUAAUUAUCGGUCCAGGGGAAGCUCCUACGCGGGGCCUACGUCGGCAACAGGAAGAGCCCGACAAAAUGUGAAUAUUCAUUUAUGUCGCCUGUGUGCCGCCGCAUAGCAAAUUGGGAGUAUCUUUAAUACCGCGCUCCGGGCCACUCAUUCACUCUUUCGUCACAUAUGCUCCAUUGUCCUGGUAUGCAACUGGUUGUUGUUUAGGACACAAUUAUGAAGUUAUCUCUUGGCCUACAUAUACUUCUUCGUCCUGGUAUGCAACUGGUUUUUGUUUAGGACGCAAUUAUGAAGUUAUCUCUGGGACACAACUUGUUUCUGCCAAUGUUUCUGGUGCUGUCCAGGGUGUUGCUUCAUGGAGAAGGCUGGAUUCCCUCAUUGGAAACUUCGGCUACCCCCUGCAGUGUCAGCAAAUUGGGAGUAUCUUAAUCCUACGUUCCAUGCCCCCUACUUCUUUGUUCCUGUUAUGCAACUGGUGUUUGUUUAGGAGACACAGCAAUAAUAAAAAUAUCUUACUGAUGCAACUUGUUUCUGCCCAUUUUUUCGCUGCUGUCCUAUCCAGUGGGCGAUCAUGAAGGCUGGAAUCCCGGACGCAGCCUGGGGCUACUCGUUAAAACCCUUUGGAUGGUCCCCAAAAAAGUUCAAUCUUGUCGGUUCCCACAGGACGACGCCUCUCAUGUCCUGUCACCUGAUUUUCAUCCCGCUUACGCGUGCGGUGCAACUGGGAUUUUCUUAGGUGCAGCGGCGAUGAUGUUGUAUGGCCUGACCAGGAGGGGCUCAUGGAGACUGUGGAGUGCUGCUGGAAGCUGCUGCUGCUGAUCUGAAUGGAAGCUUGGCUUAGUUAAUUGGCGCAGUUGCAGUCGGCGAAAAGGGCUAUUUUUGGUGGUUCUCGUAGGCUGCCAUGUUAUAUACUUUUGUGGUAGCAGAUAGCUUGGCCAGAGAGGGUGGACGCGGAUGAGCCGCGUCGUUGCUUGGUUUUGGAUACGAGCCAUCAUCCCUACCACUACUCUCGGCGUGUAGCACGGAGGAACUUCCUGUCCUGCUUUUCUUUUUUACCUGGUGAAGAUGAGCUGCAACUGCAAGUGCUGUGUUUACUCUCGCUCCAUCCGCGUCCUCUGCGACGUAAGUGUUUCGUUGCCUCUCGCUCUAUCCACGUCCUCUGUGACGGUGCCAGGAAAGGCCGCCGCACUGGGGUUUGUCCACAUGUCUUGGCAUGAAAACUUUGGCCGUUCACGGAAGUUUGGGCGUGUGCAGUAGUUUGUAUCUGUUGGUGUUGGUGCUUAAUCUCGUCGUGAUCCUCUCUUGUAUCUUAACUUUGGUUUGCCUUGUAUUUCAAUUCGGUUGUUUUUAUCAAGAACAUAGUUCCAUCUUAAUUCUAGUUCCCCCAAUUGGUGCCCUCGAUGAUUUUUAUCUACAUGCAAUGCUAACAUGAAAGCUAUUUUUUGUUGCGUGGCUUCGAUACAAAUACAAGCGAGCGUGUAAGCAGUAGUGGUCAGUGGCGGAGGCACGGGGGACCAGCAGGGGCCCCGGCCCUCCCAAACAUAAGUCACUUCUUUGCAUUUUGGGCAUGAACAGUAAUUUUUUUGGAAUGUUUUCUUAAUCGGGCCCCCUCUAAGAUCAUAAAUUUACGAUUCCUGCCUCCGCCACUGGUAGUGGUGUGUGUGUGUCUCCACGGCCCGCGCAAGGUUGAAUCAUUCUUUGCUUUCGUAGCGACAAUCGAAUAGGGGUUGGUGGCUUGCGAUAGGUUCCGGAGAGAUGGUUGUUGCCUUCUCGGGAAAGUUUUUCUUUUACGAGCGCUAGAGGGAUGAGCUAGAUACCUUUUCUAUAUGACAUGCGCUAGAGAAUAAAAAUAUCAUACCUUUUGCGUUGGAUCAUCCAAUGAAGUGGAUGCAUGCAUAUAUCUCAAGUGGUAUUUUUCUUGUGGAGUAAGUUGGAUACUGAUUUCUUCUUCAAUAGAACCAUCCGCUUUCUUUUGAAUCUAGUAUUACCAAUUACAUCCCAUAAUGUUUUUGAAGUCGGGGGUUCUCAAUGCCACCGCCAUGGGUUCUAGAGCCCUCGGGCAAGUUCUCUAUCAAGUCAAUGUAUGCCAAACUAUCAACAGUUUUGGAAAGCGCCGAACCCUUUUAAAUUUAAGUUUUUCCAAUGGCAAGCUUGGAGAAAUUGAGAGUGAAUUGCAAGAAACCACCAAAUUUGGGGCUUCUCUUGCAGAAAACAACCUGAUCGCUAAUCUUUUGCAAAAGCCACCGCGCAUUCAGUAAAAGUUUUGCAGAUUGCACUGAACCUGUCAUUUGGCGCGGUUGAGGGUGUUUCCGACAGGUGGGGCCCAAUUUUGGUGACGUGUCCUAACGGACGCGCGGACGGCGCCGUUACCUUAAGACCGACGCGGUCAGGUCGCGAGAGACAGACCGCCCGCGCCCAACCACAUCUCGCUCGCUCUCUUUGCUCUCACGCUCGCUCGCUCCCCUCCCUCUUGCUCCUCUCCUCUCCGGUCGCCGCCGGCCGCCGGCCGCCAUGGUGUCCUGGAGCGACAACGAGAGCACUGAGGGCUCCGCCGCGCAGUACAUCUCCUCCGACGACUCCCCUAUCAAGAUCCCAGCUACAAUUGAUGAGCCGUCGUUCGAGGGUCUUGUUGACGACUUGAAUGUGAUUUGUGAGCAUGGGAAUCCAAGGAGGAAAUAUGUUGCAUUUGAGGGGAUAAGCACUGGGAGGGGGUUCAUUGCCUGUGCCACUGAAGGUGUUGCAAAUUGUGGAUUAGUGCAGUGGGUAGAUGAGCAUUGGCUAGAGCAUCUGCAGAAUGCUAUUCAUAAGCUGUGGCUUAUGUAUGAGGAUAGCCAGCAUAAUAACAGGAUGGCAUGCCUGGAGCAUUCAUGCACUGUACACAAUCUGACACAGCAGAAAAAAAGAGUUGUAGGAGACGUAUGAGAAGCUUGUUGAAGAUGUGAACAACCUCUUGGAUUAUAAGGAUAGCCAGCCUGAGGUAAACUAGAAGAAUGAUGCUGAGAACAUUUCAGUGAGUGUGGAAAGCAGCAUGACAAAGGAUGCUGAGAUUAAAAAAUUGAAGGCUGGUGUUGACCAGUUAAAGCAAAUUCAUGUAGCUCAAGCCACUGUCAUUAGGAAUUUUAAGUUCAACCAUCUUAAAGAGAAGGAAAAGUUGAGCUCUGAUAAGAGGACUUUGGAGAUUUGCUAUGCUGGCCUAAAGAAAGAGAAGGAUGACCUGAAGAAAGAGAAGGAUAAGCUGGAUUGUUGCAUUGCUGAGCUGAUGAAACCGAAGGAGAAGUUGACCAUGGAGAAGAGUACUCUUCCUUCCUGCAUUGUUGAGCUCAAGACAGCAGGUGAUAGCAACAAGAGUAAGCUUAACCAGAUUAAGGCUAUUUGUGAUGAGGACUAAGUUGUGUUGUUGCCUGACCAUGUGUGUCAAUGAUGUCUUUUGUAGUAGCUAUGGAGGAAAUUUUGUAAUGUGUUAAGCUUUAUUGUGGUGAAAUCUACUAUUUCUGUAGCAAUGAACCUUGGAUUGUAUGUUGUUUGUCA
Triticum urartu is the source of this 5709-nucleotide non-coding RNA. Lineage: Eukaryota; Viridiplantae; Streptophyta; Magnoliopsida; Poales; Poaceae. The record is from RefSeq and is a predicted model, not a curated record.